GACGAACGCUGGCGGCGUGCCUAACACAUGCAAGUCGAACGGAGCACUUCGGUGCUUAAUGGCGAACGGGUGAGUAACGCGUGAGAAACCUGCCUCUCAGUGGGGGACAACAGUUGGAAACGACUGCUAAUACCGCAUAAUGUAUUCGGAAGGCAUCUUCUGAAUACCAAAGCUUUAUGUGCUGAGAGAUGGUCUCGCGUCUGAUUAGCUAGAUGGCGGGGUAACGGCCCACCAUGGCGACGAUCAGUAGCCGGUCUGAGAGGAUGAACGGCCACAUUGGGACUGAGAUACGGCCCAG
RNAcentral lists this ribosomal RNA (298 nucleotides) under uncultured bacterium. RNAcentral describes it as "partial 16S ribosomal RNA". It matches the Rfam family "Bacterial small subunit ribosomal RNA", at positions 28 to 334 of the family's 1533-position model. The record is from RNAcentral.